GAUGGACGCUGGCGGCGUGCCUAAUACAUGCAAGUCGAGCGAACGGACGAGAAGCUUGCUUCUCUGAUGUUAGCGGCGGACGGGUGAGUAACACGUGGAUAACCUACCUAUAAGACUGGGAUAACUUCGGGAAACCGGAGCUAAUACCGGAUAAUAUUUUGAACCGCAUGGUUCAAAAGUGAAAGACGGUCUUGCUGUCACUUAUAGAUGGAUCCGCGCUGCAUUAGCUAGUUGGUAAGGUAACGGCUUACCAAGGCAACGAUGCAUAGCCGACCUGAGAGUGUGAUCGGCCACACUGGAACUGAGACACGGUCCAGACUCCUACGGGAGGCAGCAGUAGGGAAUCUUCCGCAAUGGGCGAAAGCCUGACGGAGCAACGCCGCGUGAGUGAUGAAGGUCUUCGGAUCGUAAAACUCUGUUAUUAGGGAAGAACAUAUGUGUAAGUAACUGUGCACAUCUUGACGGUACCUAAUCAGAAAGCCACGGCUAACUACGU
Molecule: ribosomal RNA, 496 nt
Filed under: uncultured bacterium
Lineage: Bacteria
Description: partial 16S ribosomal RNA
Rfam family: Bacterial small subunit ribosomal RNA
Source: RNAcentral